AUUGAACGCUGGCGGCAGGCCUAACACAUGCAAGUCGAACGAGUGGCGGACGGGUGAGUAAUGUCUGGGAAACUGCCUGAUGGCGGGGGAUAACUACUGGAACCGGUAGCUAAUACCGCAUACCAUCAGAUUUGCCCAGAUGGGAUUGGCUAGUUGUGGGGGUAACGGCUAACAAAGGCGACGAUCCCUAGCUGGUCUGAGAGGAGGACCAGACAAAUGGGAAAUGGGAAACGGUCAAGACUCUGACGGGAGGAAGAAGUGGGGAAUAUUGCACAAUGGGCGCAAGCCUGAUGCAGCAAGGCGGUGGGGAGGAAGAAGGCCUUCGGGUUGUAAAGUACGUUCAGCGGGGAGGCGGUAACCGAACAAGAAGAGCCGGCUAACUCCGUGCCAGCAGCCGCGGUAAUUC
This 406-nucleotide ribosomal RNA is filed under the name uncultured bacterium. RNAcentral's name for it is "partial 16S ribosomal RNA". It matches the Rfam family "Bacterial small subunit ribosomal RNA", at positions 29 to 526 of the family's 1533-position model. The record is from RNAcentral.